This 955-nucleotide long non-coding RNA is filed under the name Penaeus japonicus. Its description in RNAcentral is "uncharacterized LOC122264186". The record is from RNAcentral. Lineage: Eukaryota; Metazoa; Arthropoda; Malacostraca; Decapoda; Penaeidae.
GACGUACCUCUUCCACAGUCAGUAGGUCUUGAGUUCUUACACCCAAUUGACCCGUCUUCUGCGAAGCUGAGAGAAAACGUCGUGUUUUCAAAACACCGAGAAAAUGAAGAAGAUUAAUCUACUUAUCCUAGUCGUGUUACUGAUAGGAAGUAUGGUCAUGGCAGUAGGUGCCGACAGCUGCGAGGACUACGACGCUGGCAAAUGUAUCCCGGAAAAUUUGAACUGCGGAACUGCCGAAAGGACCGACCUGUGCGGCGAAGGUAAGAAAUGCUGCAUUCCCGAUAAGUUGAAGUAGAUGGAGAAGAGGGAAAGAGGAAGAAGGAAGAAGGGGGGUGCAGGAGAAGGGGGAAGAACGGAGAAGGCGUCGACGACAAUACAGGCAAACGAGCAUGUCAUGAGAGCUCUGUGUUGGAUUGCUUCGAACGCUCCAAUAAUUGGCUUAUGAUUAAAUGUUAAAUUAAAGAUUGUGGAAUUGUAUCUUGCAGUACAUUCAUAUACACACAUGCUUAUAUAUGCGUACAGAAACACACAUGCAUGAAUACAUAAAUGUGCAUUUAUUAACAGACGCAAACAGAUACACAUAUUUGAUGAUAGAAAAAAAAUGACCAACAAAUUUUCUCUCAGAAGUUUUUAGUGCAUUAAAAUAAAACAAAAUAAACUAUUAAGGAACUGAUUAUAUUGAUACUAAUUCAUAAACUAAUAUUGAACGAUUACCAAUAUUAAUUAAUUUUAUUACAACAACACGAAUUCGUUUGACGGACACUCAACAAUCACCACGAGUAAGACCAAUUAACACGAACUCACAAUCUAGCCUAUGAUAACAGCUACACUUCAAAACCGAUGAUAACUACACCACUUUAAAACCUAACCCCAAUUGCUGAUGACAAUAAAUAGGCUUGUUACUCCUAACAGUUAUUUGUUGCAAUUGUUCAAGCAAUUACAAAAUUACCGGUUA